RNAcentral lists this ribosomal RNA (2044 nucleotides) under metagenome. RNAcentral describes it as "bacterial LSU rRNA". It matches the Rfam family "Bacterial large subunit ribosomal RNA", at positions 1 to 2076 of the family's 2925-position model. The record is from RNAcentral.
UUAAGUAGUAAAGGGCGCACGGAGGAUGCCUUGGCACUAGGAGCCGAAGAAGGACGUGACAAACGACGAAAUGCUACGGGGAGCUGUAAGUAAGCAAAGAUCCGUAGAUAUCCGAAUGGGGGAACCCACCGCUUUUAAAAGGGCGGUACGCGAAAGCGAGGUAACGCAGGGAACUGAAACAUCUAAGUACCUGUAGGAAGAGAAAGAAAAAUCGAUUUCCUAAGUAGCGGCGAGCGAAAAGGAAAGAGCCCAAACCAAUGUGCUUGCAUAUUGGGGUUGUAGGACUCUCAACAAAGUGUAUGACAAAGUAUAGUAGAACUAGCUGGAAAGUUAGACCGUAGAAGGUAAAAGUCCUGUAUACGAAAUGCUAAGUUGGCGCGAGAGAGCACCUGAGUACGGCGGAACACGAGGAAUUCCGUCGGAAUCUACCAGGACCAUCUGGUAAGGCUAAAUACUACCUAGUGACCGAUAGUGAACCAGUACCGUGAGGGAAAGGUGAAAAGAACCCCGGGAGGGGAGUGAAAGAGAACCUGAAACCGUGUGCUUACAAGUAGUCAGAGCCCUUAAGGGGGUGAUGGCGUGCCUUUUGUAGAAUGAACCGGCGAGUUACUUUAUCAUGCGAGGUUAAGUGGAAGACAUGGAGCCGCAGCGAAAGCGAGUCUUAAUAGGGCGAAAUAGUAUGAUGGAGUAGACCCGAAACCAAGUGAUCUACCCAUGGCCAGGUUGAAGUUUAGGUAACACUGAAUGGAGGACCGAACCAGGACACGUUGAAAAGUGUUUGGAUGAGCUGUGGGUAGCGGAGAAAUUCCAAUCGAACUUGGAAAUAGCUGGUUCUCUCCGAAAUAGCUUUAGGGCUAGCCUCGUUGUGAGUUUACUGGAGGUAGAGCACUGUUUGGACUAGGGGCCCAUCCCGGGUUACCGAAUUCAGACAAACUCCGAAUGCCAGAUAAAUAUCAACGGGAGUCAGACUGCGGGUGAUAAGGUUCGUAGUCGAAAGGGAAACAGCCCAGACCGCCAGCUAAGGUCCCAAAUUGUAUGUUAAGUGGAAAAGGAUGUGAUGAUGCACAGACAACCAGGAUGUUGGCUUAGAAGCAGCCACCAUUUAAAGAGUGCGUAAUAGCUCACUGGUCGAGUGACAUCGCGCCGAAAAUGUACCGGGGCUAAACAUACAACCGAAGCUGCGGAUAUAACUAAUGUUAUAUGGUAGGAGAGCGUUCUAACAUCGUAGAAGCCGAGCUGUAAGGCGAGGUGGAGAGGUUAGAAGUGAGAAUGCCGGUGUGAGUAGCGAAAGAUAGGUGAGAAUCCUAUCCACCGAAAGACUAAGGUUUCCAGAGGAAGGCUCGUCCGCUCUGGGUAAGUCGGGACCUAAGGUGAAGCCGAAUGGUGAAGCCGAUGGACAACAGGUAGAAAUUCCUGUACCACCAAAUAUCGUUUGAGAGAAGUGGGGACAGAGGAGGCUAAUUGAUCGUCCUGAUGGAAUAGGACGUCUAAGCACAAAGGUUGAGUAGUAGGCAAAUCCGCUACUUGGUAAGACUGAAGUGUGAUGGGGAGCGAAAUUAAAGUAGCGAAGUCAAUGAAGCCAAACUCUCAAGAAAAGCCGCUAUCGAGAUAAGAGGUGCCCGUACCGCAAACCGACACAGGUAGUUGGGAAGAGAAUUCUAAGGUGAGCGAGAGAACCAUCGUUAAGGAACUCGGCAAAAUGACCCCGUAACUUCGGGAGAAGGGGUGCCUACGAGAGUAGGCCGCAGUGAAUAGGCCCAAGCGACUGUUUAACAAAAACACAGGUCUCUGCAAAACCGAAAGGUGAAGUAUAGGGGCUGACGCCUGCCCGGUGCUGGAAGGUUAAGAGGAGUGCUUAGAGGUAACUCGAAGGUAUGAAUUGAAGCCCCAGUAAACGGCGGCCGUAACUAUAACGGUCCUAAGGUAGCGAAAUUCCUUGUCGGGUAAGUUCCGACCCGCACGAAAGGCGUAAUGAUUUGGGCACUGUCUCAACGAGAGACUCGGUGAAAUUUUAGUACCUGUGAAGAUGCAGGUUACCCGCGAC